AACGAACGCUGGCGGCGUGGCUAAGACAUGCAAGUCGUACGAUACGUUGUAGCAAUAUGACGUAUAGUGGCGGACGGGUGAGUAAUGAAUAGGUAACGUACCCCGGGCACAGGGAUAGCGUCGGGCGCAAGCCCUUUGCGAAAGUGACGGUAAUACCUGGUGACGUCUUCCGGUGGCAUCAAUCGGAAGACCAUAAGGUGGGGACCUUCGGGCCUACCGGCCUGGGAGCGGCCUAUUUCCUANCAGCUAGUUGGUGAGGUAACGGCUCACCAAGGCAACGACGGGUAGCCGGACUGAGAGGUUGUACGGCCACAUCGGGACUGAGACACUGCCCGGACAUCUACGGAUGGCUGCAGUAAACGAAU
RNAcentral lists this ribosomal RNA (365 nucleotides) under uncultured bacterium. Its description in RNAcentral is "bacterial SSU rRNA". It matches the Rfam family "Bacterial small subunit ribosomal RNA", at positions 29 to 362 of the family's 1533-position model. The record is from RNAcentral.